GGACCAAGUAUAUUCAAAACCUCCAGGGCCUGUUUGCGCUUCCCUUUGGUAGGACAGCAAAGCCAGCUCAUAUCGCAAAGGUUAAGAUGAAGUUUCGCUUCUUAGGAAAAUUAAUGGCCAAGGCUAUCAUGGAUUUCAGAUUGGUGGACCUUCCCCUUGGCUUACCCUUUUAUAAAUGGAUGCUACGGCAAGAAACUUCACUGACAUCACACGAUUUGUUUGACAUCGACCCAGUUGUAGCCAGAUCAGUUUAUCACCUAGAAGACAUUGUCAGACAGAAGAAAAGACUUGAACAAGAUAAAUCCCAGACCAAAGAGAGUCUACAGUAUGCAUUAGAAACCUUGACUAUGAAUGGCUGCUCAGUUGAAGAUCUAGGACUGGAUUUCACUCUGCCAGGGUUUCCCAAUAUCGAACUGAAGAAAGGAGGGAAGGAUAUACCAGUCACUAUCCACAAUUUAGAGGAGUAUCUAAGAGUAUGUAACUGCAUCUUUGGGGGGUAGGCCAGUUGUGAAGACGGAGGACUUUGCCUGAUUGUACCUUGCUUCUGGCUGCACACGCUAUGGCUUGAGACCUUCCACAUCCCCAGGACCACUGCAUGAAGGCUGCUUUACAAGGCGCUAGCUUCUCUUUGCUCUUGAGUGCACAUAUCAGAUAUUUCCUGUCUUAUAUAACCUUGAAUUAUUUCUCCUCAGGCUUGAAUGCUAUCUAAUUACACCACGUUUUCUUAGUUUAAAAAACAAGUGAAAAGAGACAUUAUUUGUGUUCUCACUAAAUUGCAUUUUUGCAUUUCCAUCAAGGCAGCUAGCUUGACAGAAUUUACUCCAGGCACCGUGCAAUGCACACUUUUAUGUUUGGUGACACCUUUCAAAUUACUAACUUAUGGGCGAGGUGCAGUGGCUCACGCCUGUAAUCCUUCCAGCACUUUGUGAGGCAGAAGCAGGAGGAUUACUUGAGGCCAGGAGUUCAAGACCAGCCUGGGCAACAAAGUAGGGGCCUUGUCUCUACAAAA
This 1009-nucleotide small RNA is filed under the name Pan troglodytes (chimpanzee). Its description in RNAcentral is "retained intron". The record is from RNAcentral. Lineage: Eukaryota; Metazoa; Chordata; Mammalia; Primates; Hominidae.